AGAGCGAACGCUGGCGGCAGGCUUAACACAUGCAAGUCGAGCGCCCCGCAAGGGGAGCGGCAGACGGGAGAGUAACACGUGGGAACGUACCUUUCGGUUCGGAACAACCCAGGGAAACUUGGGCUAAUACCGGAUACGUCCGUAAGGAGAAAGAUUUAUCGCCGAAAGAUCGGCCCGCGUCUGAUUAGCUAGUUGGUGAGGUAACGGCUCACCAAGGCGACGAUCAGUAGCUGGUCUGAGAGGAUGAUCAGCCUCACUGGGACUGAGACACGGCCCAGACUCCUACGGGAGGCAGCAGUGGGGAAUAUUGGACAAUGGGCGCAAGCCUGAUCCAGCCAUGCCGCGUGGGUGAUGAAGGCCCUAGGGUUGUAAAGGCCCUUUCGGGCGGGAAGAUAAUGACGGUACCCGCAGAAGAAGCCCGGCUAACUUCGUGCCAGCAGCCGC
This 444-nucleotide ribosomal RNA is filed under the name uncultured bacterium. RNAcentral's name for it is "SSU rRNA". It matches the Rfam family "Bacterial small subunit ribosomal RNA", at positions 26 to 518 of the family's 1533-position model. The record is from RNAcentral.